UUGCCCCAGUAACGGCGAGUGAAGCGGCAACAGCUCAAAUUUGAAAUCUGGCCUCCCCGGGGGGCCCGAGUUGUAAUUUGUAGAGGAUGCUUCGGGCAAGGCGGCGCUCCAAUUCGCUUGGGACGGCGGGUCGCAGAGGGUGAGAACCCCGUCCAGGAUCGCGGGCCGCGCCCGGGUGAAGCUCCUUCGACGAGUCGAGUUGUUUG
RNAcentral lists this ribosomal RNA (206 nucleotides) under uncultured fungus. RNAcentral's name for it is "partial 28S ribosomal RNA". It matches the Rfam family "Eukaryotic large subunit ribosomal RNA", at positions 75 to 276 of the family's 3401-position model. The record is from RNAcentral. Lineage: Eukaryota; Fungi.